GGUCGAGUCCUAUCCGUCGUGGGCGUAGAAAUUUGAGAGGAGCUGUCUUAUACGAGAGGACCGGGAUGGACGCACCGCUGGUGUACCAGUUGUUCUGCCAAGGGCAUAGCUGGGUAGCUAUGUGCGGAAGGGAUAAGUGCUGAAAGCAUC
RNAcentral lists this ribosomal RNA (150 nucleotides) under Bacillus thuringiensis serovar israelensis ATCC 35646. RNAcentral's name for it is "Large Subunit Ribosomal RNA; lsuRNA; 23S ribosomal RNA". It matches the Rfam family "Bacterial large subunit ribosomal RNA", at positions 2629 to 2781 of the family's 2925-position model. The record is from RNAcentral. Lineage: Bacteria; Bacillati; Bacillota; Bacilli; Caryophanales; Bacillaceae.